This 492-nucleotide ribosomal RNA is filed under the name uncultured bacterium. RNAcentral's name for it is "partial 16S ribosomal RNA". It matches the Rfam family "Bacterial small subunit ribosomal RNA", at positions 29 to 507 of the family's 1533-position model. The record is from RNAcentral.
AGUGAACGCUGGCGGUAGGCCUAACACAUGCAAGUCGAACGGCAGCACAGUAAGAGCUUGCUCUUACGGGUGGCGAGUGGCGGACGGGUGAGGAAUACAUCGGAAUCUACUUUUUCGUGGGGGAUAACGUAGGGAAACUUACGCUAAUACCGCAUACGACCUACGGGUGAAAGCAGGGGAUCUUCCGACCUUGCGCGAUUGAAUGAGCCGAUGUCGGAUUAGCUAGUUGGCGGGGUAAAGGCCCACCAAGGCGACGAUCCGUAGCUGGUCUGACAGGAUGAUCGGCCACACUGGAACUGAGACACGGUCCAGACUACUACGGGAGGCAGCAGUGGGGAAUAUUGGACAAUGGGCGCAAGCCUGAUCCAGCCAUACCGCGUGGGUGAAGAAGGCCUUCGGGUUGUAAAGCCCUUUUGUUGGGAAAGAAAAGCAGCAGGUUAAUACCCCGCUGUUCUGACGGUACCCAAAGAAUAAGCACCGGCUAACUUCGUG